UACAGAGGGGGCAAGCGUUGUUCGGAAUUACUGGGCGUAAAGGGCGCGUAGGUGGCCUUCUAAGUCGAACGUGAAAUCCCGUGGCUCAACUGCGGGCUGGCAGUCGAUACGGGCAGGCUGGAGUUCGGUAGGGGAGACUGGAAUUCCUGGUGUAGCGGUGAAAUGCGCAGAUAUCAGAAGGAACACCGGUGGCGAAGGCGGGUCUCUGGGCCGAUACUGACGCUGAGGGGCGAAAGCGUGGGGAGCGAACAGG
This 253-nucleotide ribosomal RNA is filed under the name uncultured bacterium. RNAcentral's name for it is "partial 16S ribosomal RNA". It matches the Rfam family "Bacterial small subunit ribosomal RNA", at positions 524 to 776 of the family's 1533-position model. The record is from RNAcentral.